This 496-nucleotide ribosomal RNA is filed under the name uncultured bacterium. RNAcentral describes it as "partial 16S ribosomal RNA". It matches the Rfam family "Bacterial small subunit ribosomal RNA", at positions 28 to 506 of the family's 1533-position model. The record is from RNAcentral.
GAUGAAAGCUUUCUUCUUUCCUAAUACAUGCAAGUCGAGCGAACAGACGAGGAGCUUGCUCCUCUGACGUUAGCGGCGGACGGGUGUGUAACACGUGGAUCACCUACCUAUAAGUCUGGGAUAACUUCGGGAAACCGGAUCUAAUACCGGAUAAUAUAUUGAACCGCAUGGUUCAAUAGUGAAAUACGGUUUUGCUGUCUCUUAUAGAUGGAUCCGCGCCGCAUUAGCUAGUUGGUAAGGUAACGGCUUACCCAGGCAACGAUGCGUAGCCGACCUGAGAGGGUGAUCGGCCACACUGGAACUGAGACACGGUCCAGACUCCUACGGGAGGCAGCAGUAGGGAAUCUUCCGCAAUGGGCGAAAGCCUGACGGAGCAACGCAGCGUGAGUGAUGAAGGUCUUCGGAUCGUAAAACUCUGUUAUUAGGGAAGAACAAAUGUGUAAGUAACUAUGCACGUCUUGACGGUACCUAAUCAGAAAGCAACGGCGAACUACGG